UCCAUGUCCCCCUCACCCCUCACCCCCGGAUCCCCGGGUGGCGGAGGGCUGGGGCUGCCUCUGCUGAAGGCAGUUCGAUUUCACCUGUCCAGGGACCAAGCAGAAACGACUGCCUCCCUGUACUCGUGAAAUUCACAGUGGGCACGUGGGGUCAGGGCAACCUCGUAAUGAAAAUCAGAGCAAGAUGUUGCUAUAACACAGGUUUGGAAAGCAGAGGAAGGAGCUAGUGAUUCCAUCAGGGAGGAACCUAGAAGGCCUCAAAGAGGAGGAGGCACCGACUGUGACUUGGGCUUGCAGGAGCAGGAGGGAAUUGACAGGGCGGUGGGAGCCGUCGAGGGCCAUAGAGCGGGGAGCGGCUCUGUCGUGGCAUCCAGGAUGAGGCUUGCGGUGGAGGAGGCAGGGGCAGCCACACUGUGCGGCUUGCAGAGUCUUAUUUCCCGGAUCAGGUCAGAGAUUGAACCUGGGCCCCGGCAGUGAAAAGCGCUGAGUCCUAACUGCUGGACUUCCGGUGAAUUCCUGAGCUACUGUUAUUUUAAAACAUAAAUGCUUA
Capra hircus (goat) is the source of this 550-nucleotide long non-coding RNA. RefSeq lists it as uncharacterized. The transcript is spliced from 3 exons. The record is from RefSeq and is a predicted model, not a curated record. Lineage: Eukaryota; Metazoa; Chordata; Mammalia; Artiodactyla; Bovidae.